CCUGAUCUGGAGCCGAGCUCUGCCAGCAGAUCAGGGGUGUUAAACAUCUACUGGCAGAGGCGGGGGAACCACAAUCGGCUGCCUAGAGAAGCAGCCUUGGGGUGAAGUCCGCAGCAGCAGUGCCUUACUUACGCAAUUCCCUCCUGGGAUACCUGUGUGCCGUGAGCGCUGCGUGCGGGCCGGGUCUUUGCACUCUCUGAUCCGAAUCCGACAGCUAACUUCGCAGGCUUUUGAGAGAGGAACA
Molecule: small RNA, 244 nt
Filed under: Arthrobacter sp.
Lineage: Bacteria; Bacillati; Actinomycetota; Actinomycetes; Micrococcales; Micrococcaceae
Description: c-di-AMP sequence
Rfam family: c-di-AMP riboswitch aptamer (ydaO/yuaA leader)
About the family: This family represents a conserved RNA structure found upstream of the ydaO and yuaA genes in Bacillus subtilis and related genes in other bacteria. The ydaO/yuaA element is thought to act as a genetic "off" switch for the ydaO and yuaA genes in its native state. It is believed that the element may be triggered during osmotic shock leading to activation of ydaO, a predicted amino acid transporter gene, and members of the yuaA-yubG operon which code for KtrA and KtrB K+ transporters.
Source: RNAcentral